GAUGAAGAACGUAGCGAAAUGCGAUAAGUAGUGUGAAUUGCAGAAUUCAGUGAAUCAUCGAAUCUUUGAACGCACAUUGCGCCCCUUGGUAUUCCAUGGGGCAUGCCUGUUCGAGCGUCAUUUGUACCUUCAAGCUUUGCUUGGUGUUGGGUGUUUGUCCUGAGGGACUCGCCUUAAAGUAAUUGGCAGCCAGUGUUUGGUUUUGAAGCGCAGCACAAGUCGCGAUUCAAAGCUAUACGCCCGCUUCCACAAGCCUUUUUCACUUUUGACAUCGGAUCAGGUAGGGAUACCCGCUGAACUUAAGCAUAUCAAUAAGCGGAGGA
RNAcentral lists this unclassified non-coding RNA (323 nucleotides) under soil metagenome. RNAcentral's name for it is "partial contains 5.8S ribosomal RNA, internal transcribed spacer 2, and large subunit ribosomal RNA". The stretch from base 1 to 120 matches the Rfam family "5.8S ribosomal RNA", at positions 35 to 154 of the family's 154-position model. The record is from RNAcentral.